ACCAGGUGGGAUCCCG
RNAcentral lists this ribosomal RNA (16 nucleotides) under Bartalinia laurina. Its description in RNAcentral is "partial 28S ribosomal RNA". Lineage: Eukaryota; Fungi; Ascomycota; Sordariomycetes; Amphisphaeriales; Sporocadaceae. The record is from RNAcentral.